Molecule: long non-coding RNA, 1703 nt
Organism: Felis catus (domestic cat)
Lineage: Eukaryota; Metazoa; Chordata; Mammalia; Carnivora; Felidae
Exons: 3
Source: RefSeq, a predicted model, not a curated record
GGGAAGCUCAGUUACACUCUACUGCCCAGCCAGCCAGGAACAGAGCUAACAUUUCACAUUGGAGCCUGGGAGGAUGGUUCACCUGUCUGUGGAAGAUGAAUGCCAUUCUGGAGGUAUCUUGUAUCAUCUAAACUUGAAUUUAGCCUGCAAAAGAGCCCAGCAAAUAACGGUUUUGAGUGACAGGGCAAAGCACAGGUAACAGAAUGAAUCACAUCCUACCUGGACUCAGUCCUCAAAACUAUGUGGCUAUGGGAGUUGAAAAGCCCUGUGACAAAUCUGGUAGAAGUAAGAAUUCAGCAAAAGCUAAUAAAUCCAAAAAUAUGUUCACCAUAUCCUUUCUGACUGCCCAUCUGCCCUGCCUGGACUACAGCACUGGCCUCCUAUCUGGGUGACCUGCUUCUGCUCAUGCACCAGUCUGUUCUCCACAGAGCAUCCACAGUGCUCCUGUCACAACUAAAGUCAGAUCAAGUCAUUUCUGUGCUCAAAACUUUCCCAAGACUCCCUCUAACUCAGAAUAAAAAAUUCUUACAAUGGCCCACAAGGCCAUUUGGUUGGCCAUGCCCUGUCCAUUUCCUUUCUGACAUCUUCACGUACUUUCCCCUCACUCCUCUGUUCCCUCAGUGGCCUCGAUGCUGUUCCUUGCUGAAAGGACUUGUAGUGGCUGUUCUCAAUGUCUGGUGCACCUUUCCCCCGACAAUUCCCUCUGCUACUUCACAUCUUUGUUGAGGUAUCACCUUCCUGAGGAGGUCUGACUACUUAAAAUUCCAACCUGCACCCCCACCCACAUACUGAUGUGUCUUAGCCUACUCGAUUUUUUUAUUACUUCCAUAACAUCUAUUACCUUCUAGAGUGAUAUAAAAUUCAAGGCCCUUUUGAUUAUAUUUAUUGUUUAUGGACUGUCUCUCCAUGCUAGAACAUAUCCUCCAUGAGGGCAGGAAUCUUUGUCAGUUUUGUUCAGCAAUCUAUCCUAAGCACCUAGAGCAGUGCUUAGCACACAGGAGGCAUUCAAUAAAUAGUUAGUGAAUGAAUGGACAAUACUUAAACCUCAGUGACUGUCCCCGUGUGCUAGCUAUUACAUCAAAUACUUUAUGUGAUUAUUUCUUUUAGACUUCCCAACAUGAGGGAUAAACAUUUUCCCCAUUUUACAGAUGAAGAAACUGAGAGGUUAACUAGCUUAUCUGAAGUCACAAGUCUAACUCCAAGUAAGCACAGCCUGUUUGACCCCAAAGACUAUCCCCCUUUGCAUUAUAACAUCUGGAAAUGAAUAUGUAGAAAAUGGGAUACUAAUCUGAUGCCAGCAGCUGAGGUCAAGACACAGAAAUGUCCACAGGCAGUAGAUUUCUUUGGUAACAUCUUUUGAAACCACCCUAGGGUGGGAAAUAGAGCAAGUUUUCAGGUCCCCCUCUGUCCUGCUGUAAUCAAACCUGCCAAUAAAAGACAGAGGCUUCUGUGUUCAGUGGUCUCUAUUUUGAACAUUGGUAUCUUCUGUCUGAAUUGGACUUGUUUUGAGCAUUAGCAUAUUCUUUGCAAACUAUAGUAGUUUCAAAAGAGGUUAUUAAUUGGGUAACCACCAAGGGUAGUUUAUCAAUGUGACAUGAGUGUAGGUAAGGGCAUAAUUUAAAGUUAGGCAGAGGUGUGCCUGGGUGGCCUAGCUGGUUAAAUGCCAUACUUCAGUUCAGGUCAUCAUCUCGCAGUUCAUGAGU